GUAGGUGGCAAGCGUUGUCCGGGAAUUAUUGGGGCGUAAAGCGCGCGCAGGCGGUCCUUUAAGGUCUGAUGUGAAAGCCCACGGGCUCAACCGUGGAGGGUCAUUGGAAACUGGGGGACUUGAGUACAGAAGAGGAAAGCGGAAUUCCACGUGUAGCGGUGAAAUGCGUAGAGAUGUGGAGGAACACCAGUGGCGAAGGCGGCUUUCUGGUCUGUAACUGACGCCGAGGCGCGAAAGCGUGGGGAGCAAACAGGAUUAGAUGCCCUGGUAGUCCACGCCGUAAACGAUGAGUGCUAAGUGUUAGGGGGUUUCCGCCCCUUAGUGCUGCAGCUAACGCAUUAAGCACUCCGCCUGGGGAGUACGGCCGCAAAGGCUGA
This 377-nucleotide ribosomal RNA is filed under the name uncultured organism. RNAcentral describes it as "partial 16S ribosomal RNA". It matches the Rfam family "Bacterial small subunit ribosomal RNA", at positions 527 to 897 of the family's 1533-position model. The record is from RNAcentral.